CUCACUUAGCAGACUGAAUUCGAGAGGCUAUAAGACGGUAGCUGAUGGAAGAAUCCUGAGGGUGUUACGCGGCGAUAGGAUUAUACUAGAGAGGAAGAAGGGGAGUAGAGGACAUUAUUAUCUGACGGGAAGUCUAGUGCGAGGUAGAGCUUCAGGAGCCAGAUGGAGUCCAGAGCGAAGUGGAGCUCCAGAUGGAGGUGAAUCGGGCACGAGACAGGAGACUCGAGAGGAUGAGAAGCAACGUCGCAAUAUGAGAUUCCUAUUGCCGCAAGAUGAUAUCCUGAGCAGGUCUCA
This 294-nucleotide long non-coding RNA is filed under the name Elaeis guineensis (African oil palm). RNAcentral describes it as "long non-coding RNA (EGUI_LNC023628)". Lineage: Eukaryota; Viridiplantae; Streptophyta; Magnoliopsida; Arecales; Arecaceae. The record is from RNAcentral.